CUGGAAAAACGUCAGUGUCCAUCAGUGGAUCUGGUGUAAUAAUGGAGGGUGAUUCAGUGAAUCUGACCUGCAGCAGUGAAUUAAAUCCACCUGCUCAGAACUACAGCUGGUUUAAAGUGAAUGAAACAUCAUCUGUUGGAUUUGGACAGACGUACAGCAUCACUAACAUUAACUCCAGUCACAGUGGAUGGUUUUACUGUGAGGCUCAUAAUAAAGUCGGAUCUCAGAGAUCUGAUGCUGUAUCACUCAUAGUAACAGGGGUUCAUGGUUUUGCUCUUUAUACACUUUAUGUGAUUCUGGCUGGAUCUGGGGCUUUGUUCUUCAUCAUCAUCUUCAUCAUUUUGUUUAUGAUGUCAGUACAAUUUUAUAUUUCAAGUGUUUUCUUCAUGAAUUCAGUUUAAUUCCUGUUUUGUUUCUAAUGCGACCAAUUCACAACUGUAGAUGAUAAAGACAGGGAUGAGAAAGAGUUGUGUGAUGAUCACAGAAGCUCAGUGUAGUAGAGUUCAAGUUAUUUAAACAUUAAAUCUUUAUUUUCUGUUAUUUUUCCUUUCUUUUUAUUGGAAGCACAGGAGGGGUCAUACAGCAGAAGAAAUCAAGCAGAAGCAGAUGGCUGACUUGAGUGAUGAUACAUACACAGCUCUGAAUCCUGAGUCCAGAACAUCUGAUGACAUUUACAACACAAUCACAUCUGAUCAGUGCAGGGCUGCUGAUGGCGUCUACACGACUCUUGAGCUUCAGUCCAGAUCUUCUGAAUAUGACACACUUACAGUAAACAGACAUUAAACUCUGACAGACUCUGACAGACGGCACUGUAUACCAAUGUAAUGUUGUGAUGUGUUGUUUAUUAUUACUAAUAAACUGAAAUGUAUAAAGCUGUUACGUUAAGAUUUACACAUAGUUAAACCUUUAAUUACAUUAAAAAAUAUUUUUGUCAUCAUAAUGAGCACAUUUAUGUGUUAUAAUUCUCAUCUGUAUUCCUGGAGAGACUUCUCGCUCUCUGAAGUUCACACAGAUGCUGAUAGUCAUUAAAGAUGAUUGACUGAGAUGAUUUUUCAGUAUAUUGAGAGUCUGUCACACCUUCAGUACAGUAGAGGUUAAAUGUGAUCUUCUGAUUGGUCAGUUUGAGUCACAUGAUCAAUGAUUAUUCAUAUAUCUUAAUUGUAAAAAAUUUAUUCUACAUGUUAAAGCAACACUAUGUAGUUUCCAUGUAAAAAUGACUUACAGCUCCCUCAUGUGGUUGAAAAGCGCAACAGUGCCUAAUAUCAGGCACUCUUCUCCAGGCAGGGGUUGGGGCGGGGCUGUGUUUCCUACCCUCCACCGCCACUUUCAGAGUGUGCUUGUAGCAGCUAGGAGGCUGCUCAGGUUGCAGCAACAGUACAAUUUGUCCAGUUAAGUUGUUCUAUCACUGAAAUAAUUUUAGAGACAUUAUUUAAAGGUAAAAAACUACAUAGUGUUG
Non-coding RNA from Misgurnus anguillicaudatus (oriental weatherfish), 1456 nucleotides. NCBI's taxonomy places the organism in Eukaryota, Metazoa, Chordata, Actinopteri, Cypriniformes, Cobitidae. The record is from RefSeq and is a predicted model, not a curated record.